RNAcentral lists this ribosomal RNA (301 nucleotides) under uncultured bacterium. RNAcentral describes it as "partial 16S ribosomal RNA". It matches the Rfam family "Bacterial small subunit ribosomal RNA", at positions 509 to 807 of the family's 1533-position model. The record is from RNAcentral.
CAGUCGCCGCGGUAAUACGAAGGGUGCAAGCGUUACUCGGAAUUACUGGGCGUAAAGCGUGCGUAGGUGGUGGUUUAAGUCCGUUGUGAAAGCCCUGGGCUCAACCUGGGAAUUGCAGUGGAUACUGGGUCACUAGAGUGUGGUAGAGGAUAGUGGAAUUUCCGGUGUAGCAGUGAAAUGCGUAGAGAUCGGAAGGAACAUCUGUGGCGAAGGCGACUAUCUGGGCCAACACUGACACUGAGGCACGAAAGCGUGGGGAGCGAACAGGAUUAGAUACCCCUGUAGUCCCUGUCUCUUAUAC